RNAcentral lists this ribosomal RNA (245 nucleotides) under uncultured Ethanoligenens sp. RNAcentral describes it as "partial 16S ribosomal RNA". It matches the Rfam family "Bacterial small subunit ribosomal RNA", at positions 524 to 768 of the family's 1533-position model. The record is from RNAcentral. Lineage: Bacteria; Bacillati; Bacillota; Clostridia; Eubacteriales; Oscillospiraceae.
UACGUAGGUGGCGAGCGUUGUCCGGAAUUACUGGGUGUAAAGGGUGCGCAGGCGGGUUGCCAAGUUGGAUGUGAAAUCUCCCGGCUCAACUGGGAGGAUGCAUUCAAAACUGGCGAUCUUGAGUGAGGUAGAGGCUGGCGGAAUUCCCGGUGUAGCGGUGAAAUGCGUAGAGAUCGGGAGGAACACCAGUGGCGAAGGCGGCCAGCUGGGCCUUUACUGACGCUGAGGCACGAAAGCAUGGGUAG